Molecule: long non-coding RNA, 1081 nt
Filed under: Callithrix jacchus (white-tufted-ear marmoset)
Lineage: Eukaryota; Metazoa; Chordata; Mammalia; Primates; Cebidae
Description: lncRNA (ENSCJAG00000078085.1)
Source: RNAcentral
CACUGUAGUAUAGUUUGAAGUCAGGUAGUGUGAUACCUCCAGCUUAUUAUUGGUGUUUUUUUUUUUUUGCUUAGAAUAUGGACAUUUCAAGACCCAGAAAAGAUGAAAUAAUUUAUUACCAGCAGACUGAAAUAAGAAAUGAUAAGUGAAAUGUUCAGAAAAAAUGAGAAUAGAUGAAAAUAUGAAUGCUUGCAAAGGUCUAUGAGCAAUCAUAAAUGGCAAUUAUGUUCUACUUAUUUUGAACAUGCUAAUAUAAAUAGAUACCUGUAUCUGCUAACAUUGUCAUAUACUUUGAUGUGUGGGCAUACUUCUGACUGUAAAGCUGCUAAAUUAUAAUUUUCAAAAAGUUUUUUUUAGAGAGACAAGGUUUCACUGUUUUGGCCAGGAUGGUCUCGAUCUGUUGACUUUGUGAUCCGCCCACCUCAGCCUCCUAAAGUGCUGGGAUUACAGGCGUGAGCCACCACGCCCAAUCUGGCUUAUCUGUUUUUAAGGUAUGUUUUGUAUGACACGUCAUAUUUUUACAAAUAAAACAUUUCUUCCUGAAUUCCUACAUAUGCUGAACAAACACAUAGAUUGAAACCUAAAUUGUUUCAACUAAACUUCUAAAUUAUAAUUUUUAUAAUUGAGCUUUAAAACUAUAAAUAUUUCAAUGAGGUAAAGCUCAUGACAUAUUACUAAAUGUAUAUGCUAAUAUGCUGUCCAUUGGUGCAAAAGUAAUUGUGGUUUUUGCCAUUAAAGUAAUGGCAAUUACAUUUGCACAAACCUAAUAGAUUUAAAAGGUGUUUCCUACUACUGCUGAGGCUUGUAGACAUGGUGAAAGGGCCCAGAGUAGUGAAAUUUUAGUUUACCUCAACUGUCUCUCAUCAUUCUUAUACUUACUUUUUAUUCUUAUUUUCAACAUACUGAAUCUGCAGAUGGCCUUUUAAUUCAGGCUGACUAUAUAAACAUACUGUGAGAUUACUUUGGUGUUUUAGGGAGGCUUUCAUUCCAGGGCAGCCAAUUAGCAACCUUAACUGGGUGAUAGAUAAUUACCACUAGGAAAACGAGAUGUUUGCUACAAACUUGUUUACUUCCCUGUAAU